GGGAGUGUAGCUCAGUGGUAGAGCACUUGCCUAACAUGUGCAAGGCUCUGGGUUCCAUUCCCAGUACCAUCA
This 72-nucleotide transfer RNA is filed under the name Ictidomys tridecemlineatus (thirteen-lined ground squirrel). RNAcentral's name for it is "Spermophilus tridecemlineatus (thirteen-lined ground squirrel) tRNA". It matches the Rfam family "tRNA". Rfam says of the family: Transfer RNA (tRNA) molecules are approximately 80 nucleotides in length. Their secondary structure includes four short double-helical elements and three loops (D, anti-codon, and T loops). The record is from Rfam by way of RNAcentral. Lineage: Eukaryota; Metazoa; Chordata; Mammalia; Rodentia; Sciuridae.